UCCGCUCCAGUCAGUUUCCCCUGGUGUGAACAUCUCUCAUUCCUAUGGUCCGUUUGUCACAGCUAAUGAAGCCAUUUUCAUACCUUAUUAUUUACGAAACUGCAGACUUUAUUUGGAGUUCAUUAGCGUUCCCCUAGUGUCCUUUCUGUGUUCCAGGAUUCCAUCGAGAAUAUCACAUUACAUUUAGUCUCCUUCAUGCCUCCUUGGCCUCCUCUGGUCUGUGAUAGUUCCUGAGAUUUUCCUAAUUUUUUAUACCUUUCACAAUAUUGGGAAGAACUGACCAGAUAUAUUGUAAAAUGUCCCUCAAACUGAAUUUAUUUGGGGUUUAGAUCAUGGUUAGACUACGGUUAUGGAUGUUUAGAUGAGGUGAAGUGCGAUUCUCCAAACACUUUGUCAAGGUUAUAGAAUAUCAAUUGAUGUACCACUGUUGUUGAAGUUGAUCACCUGGUAUAUUAGCUUCAAUAUACCUCCCGGGUAUAUUGAACCCAGGAGGCAGAGGUUGCAGUGAGCCGAGAUCAUGCCAUUGCACUCCAGCCUGGGAGAAAAGAGGGAAACUUCAUGUCCAAAAAAAAAAAAAAGUUAAAAUAAAUAAGAAAAGAAAAAAAUUAAGGUCAUCUCUUGUGUACUUUUUAAAAUCAAUGGAUAGAGUAUAGCAAAGUUAUGUGAGCACUCACAAUACCUGGUUUUUAACUGAAAGAAACACUGAAAAGGGCAAGAUAUUGUCUCAAAUUGCCAAUGCCACCCCAGCCCCAUCCUCCAGCAGCAGCUCUGCAGUGCGGAGAAUCAUGCACUUUGGGAGAGGGAGAACACAGAAAUUGUGAGACAUUGCGUUGAACUCAGUGGUGCCUUGAUAUAGAGUUAUAUUAGAAGAAUGGAGCAAUGGGUUUGGUUGUUGGUGUGUGGGCUGGGGUUGGUGCGCGCUUCCGGCUUGGCCACCGGUGUCCGUGGUUCAGCCCCGGGGCUUUUGUGUCGGGUCUGGCUUGGCUUUGUGUUCCAGAGUUUUUGCCCUGCUCCGCAGCGCUUCUCCGGGGCGGGAGCCACGAGGCCUGGGCGAGCUCAGGCGGGACCGGCGGCUGUGAAGGUUGCGGGGAGCGGGACUUGCAGCUCCUGGUGAUGCCAGAGUUCCUGGAAGGCUCCUGGGACCUGACGAAGGACAAGUUGAAGAGUGAGUUGGUCACCAUUAAAGUGAGGCUCCCGGCCCGGAGCAGCGCGCAGACCAGGACGCACAGCUCCGCCUGCAGCACUGGGCGCUACCUCUACCCGCCCGGGCGCCGACAGCUAGGGCCCGCCUCCCCCAGCUGCGAGGAACUCGCAGCUGCGAGUGCACCCUGGUCCUGGCUUCGGAGCCGGGCCUCCCGGAGCAGGAAAGCCACAAAGAAAACGGAUCAACCCAGACCAAAAGAUGAAGCUGAUCUCGAGGUAAUCGCGCUCACUAAUGAAGAUCUCGUGGACCCGCUUGCGAGGUAUGA
Molecule: long non-coding RNA, 1469 nt
Filed under: Macaca mulatta (Rhesus monkey)
Lineage: Eukaryota; Metazoa; Chordata; Mammalia; Primates; Cercopithecidae
Description: lncRNA (ENSMMUG00000053627.1)
Source: RNAcentral